UACGUAGGGGGCUAGCGUUAUCCGGAAUUACUGGGCGUAAAGGGUGCGUAGGCGGUCUUUAAAGCCAGAAGUGAAAGGCUACGGCUCAACCGUAGUAAGCUUUUGGAACUGUAAGACUUGAGUGCAGGAGAGGAGAAUGGAAUUCCUAGUGUAGCGGUGAAAUGCGUAGAGAUUAGGAAGAACACCAGUGGCGAAGGCGAUUCUCUGGACUGUAACUGACGCUGAGGCUCGAAAGCGUGGGGAGCAAACAGGAUUAGAUACCCUGGUAGUCCCUGA
Molecule: ribosomal RNA, 276 nt
Filed under: uncultured prokaryote
Description: partial 16S ribosomal RNA
Rfam family: Bacterial small subunit ribosomal RNA
Source: RNAcentral